UUCAUCACACUCAAGUUUUCUUUAUUACAUUUUCUCUCCUCAGGCCCUACAGAUUCAGGACCACGGCCAGCACCCACACUGCCUUCCGUAAACACUGAGCUAAACCUAGAGCCUCGGUGAUGAGAUCAGCCCUGCCUUUGUAAGUUGGUUUUCUCAACAAACAUCAACUGAACAUCUACUAAGCAUAAGGGAAACUAAGCCCUGUUGAGGGCUGGGAAAUCCUACUGGGUGAAAAUCUGGGAGUGUUUGGCUGGAAAGAGGAGAUUUGGGGACACAGCUGUUGUCUUCAUCCAUCCAAGGGAGUAUUGUGGACGGAGAAGCAGGCUUAUUGUAUUGGACUUCAGAGGGCUAAACUAGACUCAGUAGGUGGAAGUGACAGCGCGGCAGAGAAAUCCAUCAGAUUUGAGAUCAAAUUUCGGAUCAAGCAUUUUCUGAAGAUGUCCGCAGGCAAGUCUCUGAGCCUCCAUGUCCACAUUUUUAAAAGGAAGUAAAUGA
This 495-nucleotide long non-coding RNA is filed under the name Rhinopithecus bieti (black snub-nosed monkey). RNAcentral describes it as "lncRNA (ENSRBIG00000045929.1)". Lineage: Eukaryota; Metazoa; Chordata; Mammalia; Primates; Cercopithecidae. The record is from RNAcentral.